This 1481-nucleotide ribosomal RNA is filed under the name uncultured Bordetella sp. RNAcentral describes it as "partial 16S-23S ribosomal RNA intergenic spacer". The record is from RNAcentral. Lineage: Bacteria; Pseudomonadati; Pseudomonadota; Betaproteobacteria; Burkholderiales; Alcaligenaceae.
UCGAUUGUGUUAUCAUGGGCAUCGGAAGUGGCUAACAGAGCUACCUUGUUACGACUUCACCCCCCAGUCGCUGAAUCCUACCCAGUAAUCGCCCUCGCCGGUUGUUCUUCCCUUCUGGUAAACCACUCAUGGUGUGACAGGCGGUGUACAAGACCCGGGAACGUAUUCACCGCGACAUGCUGAUCCACCGCGAUGCAGCGAUUCCGACUUCACGCAGUCGAGUUGCAGACUGCGAUCCGGACUACGAUCCGGGUUUCUGGGAUUGGCUCCCCCUCGCGGAUUGGCGACCCUCGUCCCGACCAUUGUAUGACGUGUCUGACCUACCCAUAAGGGCCAUGAGGACUUGACGUCAUCCCCACAGCCCCUCGGUUGUCUGUGAUCAUUAGAGUGCCCUUUCGGCCCAGCAACUAAUGACAAAGGUUGCUCGUUGCGGGACUUAACCUUAACAUCUCUCCGACACGAGCUGACGACAGCCAUGCAGCACCUGUGUUCCAGUUCCCUGUCUUGCGAGCACUCCCAAAUCUCUGGGAUUCAGACGUCACAAGGGUAGGUAAGGUUUUCGCGUUACAUCAGUUAAUCAUCAUCCACCCUUGUACGGGGUCCCCGUCAGAUUUAUUUGAGUUUUAAUCUUUGUCGUAUACAGGCGGUCACUUCACGCGUUAGCUGCGCUACCGAGAGCCAGGCCCAACAGCUGGUGAGCAUCGUUUAGGCUGAACUACAGGAGUAUCUAAUCUGUUUUGCUCCACGCUGUGCGUAAGCGUCAGUGUUACCCUCCAGGCUGCUGCCAUCGGUGUUCCUCCGCAUAUCUACGCAUUUCACCACCGCGGAAUUCCACCUCCCUCGACCAUCCCCAAAGCUCGGUAGUUAAAAAUGCAGUUCCAAGGGUCAAGCUCUGGAUUUCGCAUCUUUCUUUCCGAACCGCCUGCACACGCUUUGCCAGUAGUUCGAUUACUUUUCACGGCAUUACCUGCUGCCAGCUGCUGGCGUGGUGCAUCGGUGCUUGUUCUGCAGGUAUAGUCGGUUGCAGGAGUGAUAUUAUCGUGCCGUUUCUGUACCUACCAAGAAGAUCUUUUUACAACCCGAGAGCCUUCACGCCAGGAUGGCUGAAUCAGUUUCCCCGGUAUCCAAAAUUCCCCGCACCGCCUCCAGCGCGAGUCUGGGCAAGCCAUCUCAGUCCCGAUCAGCGGCUGGUCGUCCUCUCGAAGCCGCUUCUGGAUCGUCACUCGCCAAGUGGACAAUUACCCCACCAACUAGCUAAUCCGAUAUCGGCCACUCUGCUCACGUGCAAGGCCGAAAGUCCCCCGCUUUCCCCCGAAGGGUGUCUGCGAAACAUUCUUCUUUCGCGUAGUUAUCCCCCGCUACUAGGCACGUUCCGAUACGUACUCACCACGUUCGCCACUCGCCACCAGACCGAAGUCCGUGCCACCAUUCGACUUGCAUGUGUAAGCAUCCAUAGCGUUCAAUCUGAGCCAUAAUCAAAC